This 609-nucleotide ribosomal RNA is filed under the name uncultured bacterium. RNAcentral's name for it is "bacterial SSU rRNA". It matches the Rfam family "Bacterial small subunit ribosomal RNA", at positions 897 to 1505 of the family's 1533-position model. The record is from RNAcentral.
AAACUCAAAGGAAUUGACGGGGGCCCGCACAAGCGGCGGAGCAUGCGGCUUAAUUCGAUGCAACGCGAAGAACCUUACCUAGGCUUGACAGUUGGGGAAAUCUGGCAGAGAUGCCAGGUCCGUAAGGGCCCCAAAACAGGUGGUGCAUGGCUGUCGUCAGCUCGUGUCGUGAGAUGUUGGGUUAAGUCCCGCAACGAGCGCAACCCUCGUCGUAUGUUGCCAGCGGAUAAUGCCGGGGACUCAUACGAGACUGCCGGGGUCAACUCGGAGGAAGGUGGGGACGACGUCAAGUCAUCAUGCCCCUUAUGUCUAGGGCUGCACGCAUGCUACAAUGGCCGGUACAGAGGGCUGCGAAACCGCGAGGUGGAGUGAAUCCCAAAAAGCCGGUCUCAGUUCGGAUUGGGGUCUGCAACUCGACCCCAUGAAGUCGGAGUCGCUAGUAAUCGCAGAUCAGCAACGCUGCGGUGAAUACGUUCCCGGGCCUUGUACACACCGCCCGUCACGUCACGAAAGUCGGCAACACCCGAAGCCGGUGGCCUAACCCUUGUGGGAGGAGCCGUCGAAGGUGGGGCUGGUGAUUGGGACGAAGUCGUAACAAGGUAGCCGUAA